Molecule: ribosomal RNA, 253 nt
Filed under: uncultured bacterium
Lineage: Bacteria
Description: partial 16S ribosomal RNA
Rfam family: Bacterial small subunit ribosomal RNA
Source: RNAcentral
UACGUAGGUGGCAAGCGUUGUCCGGAUUUACUGGGCGUAAAGAGCGCGCAGGCGGUCGGAUAAGUCGAAUGUGAAAGCCCCGGCUCAACUGGGGAGGGUCAUUCGAUACUGUUCGACUCGAAGGCAGGAGAGGGAAGUGGAAUUCCCGGUGUAGUGGUGAAAUGCGUAGAUAUCGGGAGGAACACCAGUGGCGAAGGCGACUUCCUGGCCUGUUCUUGACGCUGAGGCGCGAAAGCUAGGGGAGCAAACGGGG